ACACACACACACACACACACACACACUGCAACUUAGCCUACAUAGGUAGAAUCUGGCAGCCGCCUCUAAUCCUGGAAAACACAUCGGGUUGGCCUGUCAUAAAAACAGUCCUUCUGGCCAUUGAGCAAACAAGAAAUCCUCAAUUCGGGGCACAGUGAAUCUUGGCCUUGUGAGCACACUUGCUUUAGGUAUGUAUUUUGGCUUUUAUUCUGACUUAAAAACAAAAAACAAACAAACAAAAACACCUAAGUAUUUUCUGGCAUUGCCAUCAAUGUUCUUAGUGGCUUUAAUUAACAUCAUUUUAUCUGCUGUUUCUGAAAGCCACAUGGAUCUUACAUUUAUGUUUGUCAGCUCAUUUAAUCCCUUAGUAUUAUUACCAAGAAAGAUAUUACCUAAGCUAAUUUAGAAAAAAAAAAAAAUCCUGGCAGAAGCUUAAACUUUGAGGGAGCAUAACCCUGUGAAGGGAGCCAUUUGUAGGCGUUUGUAAAGGCCAUGGUUUUGUGUUCUUCUCUUCCCACCCUGAAUAGUUUGGGAUGUUUAAACCUUUUAUUUUUAUUUUUAUUUUUUUAAAGACAGGUCCUAAUUUAUCUUAGGCUGACCCCAACCAUCUGUGUGGUUUAAAAUGACCUUGAACUUCCAGGCCCCUCUACGUCCUAAGUGCUGGGAUUAUAGGCCUAUGCCACAAAACCCUUCUUAUGUGGUUCAAGGGGCAAAUUCUCUCCAAACUAAGCGACAUCCACAGACCAAUUUGCAGGUUUUGAAAUGGAUUAGAGAAGCUUGGGUUCACAUAGAAGACGAAUGAGUCAAAGUCACAGUUGUACUUUGUUGCUCUAAAAAUGAGAUUCUAAGGAAUUUCUACUGACGGUGAAUGUUAUGGAUUUCCACAUGAAAUGGUAGGACAAAUUCUGCUUUAUGCUACAAUUGCAUGUGCUGUGGUGGGGGUACAUUAGACAUUAAAAUGGAGUUCUAAGCCUUCCACUUCUCUCUCCCUCCCUCCCUGUCUUCCUUCUCUCUGUCCUUCCCCCCGCCUGACAUAACUAAAUAUUUCAUUUUUCUCAUGAAAUUCUAAGACUAUUUUAAAUAGUUUAAAAAUAGCCAUUGAAUUCCCCACUUGUAAGCAUGGGUACAACUGUAGCAGCAGUAGACUUGAUUAUUUAAGAACCAUAUGAAGCAGGUUUCUAAUUGCCCACUUUAGCAUAGAUUAUAAAUCAACACUUUCUGAAUUUCUGUUUUGUACCGGGAGUGUUGUUAGGUACUGGGCACAGAACUCAGCUACAUACUACCUACUUCAGCCUUGGACAGCACCUGCCCAAGUGGGUUUACUGGAGGAUAUAUUGGAGUGCUCUUGCUUAAAUGAGUUCCAUAUGUUGCUCUGGAGAACCCAAGUUUCUCAUCAGUAGCGGCAGGAUUAAAAAGUAAUUUCUGAUUCUGACGAGGGAAGCAGGUCUACUAACUGCAGAUCUUUGGCUCCCCCUCCUCUCCCCUAAAUCUAAUCCCCUGGUCUCAUCCCCAGCUCUUCAGCAGAAUACUUAAUGAAGCCCCCUCCCCCCUUGCUUGAUCACACAGAUCUUCUCCCUCUUAUCCCCUCCCUGUCAUUGGUUUGUCCAGCCUCCAACUCCAGCAGGUGCUCCCUGAGAGCUCACUGGCCACUCCCACCAAUACCUAGAAACUCAUUUUACCUGGAACCCCCAGUGGCCACACUUAUCAGAACCCCAGAAGAAUGUCUUACUAGGCAACACACAACUGACACCCUCUUCUAAGAACCAGAGAAGAAACAGAAAACAAGGCACAAAACACCUACCUAACGAAGACAAGAACAGCUAUUAUUAGCAACUAGAAUUAUACUCAUUUCAAUCCCAGAUGAUUAGACACCAGCAUAAAAACACAAUCAAAAGUACAUAGGACUUUACUAGAAGUAAAAGUACAUGCCUUUACUAGAGCCUGGCAACCCUACAACAGUAGGCCCUGAGCACUGCAAAACAACUGAAGCACAAGAAAAGACCUUAAGACAACCUUUAAGGACUUUUCCUUAAAAGAGGAAAUGAAUAAAUCCCUUAAAGAAAUCCAGGAACACACAAGCAAACAGUGGAAGGAAUGAAUAAAACAGUUAAACACCUGAAUGUGGAAAUAGAAUCAACAAAGAAAACUCAAACUGAGGAAAGUAUUGAAAUUUAGGAACUUGAACAGGUACCAUAGAGGCAAGCCUCACCAACAGAAUAAAAGAGAUGGAACAGAGAAUCUCAGGCAUUGAAGACACAAUAGAAGAUAUGGAUACCUGGUCAAAGAAGAUGUUAAUUAAUG
This 2301-nucleotide long non-coding RNA is filed under the name Mus musculus (house mouse). RNAcentral describes it as "long non-coding RNA chr3:69381396-69383697". Lineage: Eukaryota; Metazoa; Chordata; Mammalia; Rodentia; Muridae. The record is from RNAcentral.